Molecule: ribosomal RNA, 253 nt
Filed under: uncultured bacterium
Lineage: Bacteria
Description: partial 16S ribosomal RNA
Rfam family: Bacterial small subunit ribosomal RNA
Source: RNAcentral
UACGGAGGGUGCAAGCGUUAAUCGGAAUUACUGGGCGUAAAGCGCACGCAGGUGGCUGAGUCAGUCGAUUGUGAAAGCCCUGGGCUUAACCUGGGAAUUGCAGUCGAUACUACUCAGCUAGAGUAUGGGAGAGGGAUGCGGAAUUCCAGGUGUAGCGGUGAAAUGCGUAGAUAUCUGGAGGAACACCGGUGGCGAAGGCGGCAUCCUGGACCGAUACUGACGCUGAGGAGCGAAAGCCAGGGGAGCAAACGGG